Manacus vitellinus (golden-collared manakin) is the source of this 636-nucleotide long non-coding RNA. RefSeq lists it as uncharacterized. The transcript is spliced from 3 exons. The record is from RefSeq and is a predicted model, not a curated record. Lineage: Eukaryota; Metazoa; Chordata; Aves; Passeriformes; Pipridae.
GUAUUACUGAACCAAAGCAGUUAGCUCUGUUCAAAUUUGGCACCACAGACCCACCACCGUUAGCUGAGGUGCUCCCUCACCCCAGGGCUGCCUGCAGCCUGGAGACGUAUGAAUAUUCACAGUGACAGCGGCAAGGUUAUCACCUUACAAAAGGGACAUCCAAUGCUUUACAUCUCUUUGAUGUCUGUUAAGGCUGGGACAAUGCACACACUGCUAAGGGAGGGGAAAAAAAGACCGGAGCAGAGAGGAAGAGGGAUAAGAGCAAGUGGGAAGAAAUGAGGGCAACAAACACACUCACGGAACACAGCUUGAAGAUGAAAAACAACAGGAAGAUUAAAGAAGAAAUCGUACAGAAGGCAUGCUGCAAACAACCAGAGUUGGGAACAGGCCAGGCAAAGAGCCGGGCACUGGCUGCACUACCUUCUCUCAGGUUUUAGACAUUGUUUGGAGAGCUGUGUGUCUGUGACAGGACUGGAAGCGAUGCCCAGCUCUGGACUAUCUGCACUGAAUGCUCAGGAUGCCCAGUGCUGUGAAGAUCUGACUCCUGGCUACGAGAGAAAGUUGCUCACUUCUGUGAUGACAACUGCAUCAUUUGCUAAGGUCAGUCUGAGAAGACUUAAAAUUAGAUGAAAGCAC